This 493-nucleotide ribosomal RNA is filed under the name uncultured bacterium. RNAcentral's name for it is "partial 16S ribosomal RNA". It matches the Rfam family "Bacterial small subunit ribosomal RNA", at positions 30 to 523 of the family's 1533-position model. The record is from RNAcentral.
AUUGAACGCUGGCGGCAUGCCUUACACAUGCAAGUCGAACGGUAACAGGUUAAGCUGACGAGUGGCGAACGGGUGAGUAAUAUAUCGGAACGUGCACAGUCGUGGGGGAUAACUGCUCGAAAGAGCAGCUAAUACCGCAUACGACCUGAGGGUGAAAGCGGGGGAUCGCAAGACCUCGCGCGAUUGGAGCGGCCGCUAUAAGAUUAGGUAGUUGGUGGGGUAAGAGCCCACCCAGCCAACGAUCUGUAGAUGGUCUGAGAGGACGACCAGCCACACUGGGACUGAGACACGGCCCAGACUCCUGCGGGAGGCAGCAGUGGGGAAUUUUGGACAAUGGGCGCAAGCCUGAUCCAGCCAUGCCGCGUGCGGGAAGAAGGCCUUCGGGUUGUAAACCGCUUUUGUCAGGGAAGAAAAGGUUCUGGUUAAUACCUGGGACUCAUGACGGUACCUGAAGAAUAAGCACCGGCUAACUACGUGCCAGCCGCCGCCGUAA